Molecule: ribosomal RNA, 310 nt
Filed under: uncultured Aerococcus sp.
Lineage: Bacteria; Bacillati; Bacillota; Bacilli; Lactobacillales; Aerococcaceae
Description: bacterial SSU rRNA
Rfam family: Bacterial small subunit ribosomal RNA
Source: RNAcentral
UGGCCUUGCGGUGCAUUAACUAGUUGGUCGAGGUAACGGCUCACCAAGGUGAUGAUGCAUAGCCGACCUGAGAGGGUAAUCGGCCACAUUGGGACUGAGACACGGCCCAAACUCCUACGGGAGGCAGCAGUAGGGAAUCUUCCGCAAUGGACGCAAGUCUGACGGAGCAACGCCGCGUGAGUGAAGAAGGUUUUCGGAUCGUAAAACUCUGUUGUAAGAGAAGAACAAAAUUGUAGAGUAACUGCUACAGUCUUGACGGUAUCUUACCAGAAAGCCACGGGCUAACUACGUGCCAGCAGCCGCGGUAAAU